Molecule: ribosomal RNA, 478 nt
Filed under: uncultured bacterium
Lineage: Bacteria
Description: partial 16S ribosomal RNA
Rfam family: Bacterial small subunit ribosomal RNA
Source: RNAcentral
GACGAACGCUGGCGGCGUGCUUAACACAUGCAAGUCGAACGGGAUUUAGUAAACAGAAACCUCGGUGGAAGAUUACUAAUGAGAGUGGCGAACGGGUGAGUAACGCGUGAGCAACCUGCCUAUGACAGUGGGAUAGCCUCGGGAAACCGGGAUUAAUACCGCAUAAAAUCGUAGAAACACAUGUUUUAACGGUCAAAGAUUUAUCGGUCAUAGAUGGGCUCGCGUCUGAUUAGCUCGUUGGUGAGAUAACAGCCCACCAAGGCGACGAUCAGUAGCCGGUCUGAGAGGAUGAACGGCCACAUUGGAACUGAGACACGGUCCAAACUCCUACGGGAGGCAGCAGUGGGGAAUAUUGCACAAUGGGGGAAACCCUGAUGCAGCGACGCCGCGUGAACGAAGAAGGUAUUCGUAUCGUAAAGUUCUGUCCUAUGGGAAGAUAAUGACAGUACCAUAGAAGAAAGCUCCGGCUAAAUACGUG